This 92-nucleotide transfer RNA is filed under the name Arthrobacter sp. MN05-02. Its description in RNAcentral is "tRNA-Asp". The record is from RNAcentral. Lineage: Bacteria; Bacillati; Actinomycetota; Actinomycetes; Micrococcales; Micrococcaceae.
UCAGGUCGUGGGGUGCGGCGUCCGGCGAUUAUCAGUCGCCGACGACCGCGGGCUUCUCGUGAAGCCGCUUGGUCUCGUCCUGCCACUCGGAC